CAAACACAUGAGUAUAUGAGGCCAUGCCUAUUCAAACUACCAUAAUAGCUUAACCUCUUUGGAUCACAGUCAUCUCCUAUACAUCUGAAAUGCUUCUACCUAUCAUAGGAGACACACAUGUACUGAGUGAUGUGUAUGAAGUCCCUGGCCAUCAGACCAUGCCUACAGUACUGCUUGUGGGUAAGGGUGUCUAAAAGCCACACAGCCUCCAUCUUUAUUGCCACACUCAUGCACUCUGAAAGGAUGUCUAGCUUCACAGUGCUCAGGACCAUAUUUUCAGGGAAGACAGUCUCUACAACUCUAAUGGAAAAUUGAGGAGAAUCAAGAUGAAUUCCUCAGAACUGGGACUACAUGAGGAAGUAUGGAAGAUUGACCUCAGAGACCUGUCUCCUCCAGUGCAGAGGGACUUGCAGCAGUAGGUGACACAGAAAAGAAGCAAGAAAAAGGCUUGUCAGCUUUAUGAACAUGAAGUCUUUCACAAAGACAGAGAACUGGAAUUGAGGUUAUAUUAGAUUCUGUCCUACAAGAUUGCAGAAACAACAAACAAAACCAGCUGGUUAUGGUAAUAUGCACCAGUAAUUUCAAUACUCAGUCAUGGAGGUAGGAGGAUCAGGAUUUCAAGGCUAUCUUCGACCACUUGGCAGGUUCAAGGUCAACCUGAACCACCAGAAAUACUGUCAGAAAAUGACAAUAUGAAACUUGAGUACAAGGAAGUUGUAAAUAUACCACCACAGGAUGUCAAAGGAUUGAGGGGCUUAGGGCAGCCAUGUGCUACUUGAAGGAUGGACUCUGCCCCAGAAGCAACAUGUAAAUGCCACUGAUCUAAGCCAGUUGAGAUAUGUGCCAAUGGAAGAAGAGCUUUUCAUGGAGGUCUAGCUCUAACAGCUCUCCAGCCAUCCGCUAAGGAGUGCCAGUUCUAGAUUUGUCUACCACUGUGAAGAACUCAAGGAAAUAUUCACAGGUUGGGACAUAGCAUGGUGCACUGAAGAUACUUUGGCGACAUAAAAACAUGUCUCUGCUCUGCUACCCUAUGCAUGGCUUCUAAGAAGUUCAGUAAACUAUCAGAUAGCCCAGCGAGCUGCAUCCCAGGUCCUGUCAGCGCUCCUGACUCCAGGUUAAGACUUUUGGUCCUGUCUUCUUCUCGGAGAACUGAGCACAUGGCCUCACGAAGGAAAGAAACAUCCAGCCUUUUGGAUUAGAAUGAUCAUAUGUAUUCACCUCUGAAAAACGUCCAAGACUCACUCCA
Long non-coding RNA from Mastomys coucha (southern multimammate mouse), 1246 nucleotides. RefSeq lists it as uncharacterized. The record is from RefSeq and is a predicted model, not a curated record. Lineage: Eukaryota; Metazoa; Chordata; Mammalia; Rodentia; Muridae. The transcript is spliced from 8 exons.